GAUGAACGCUGGCGGCGUGCCUAAUACAUGCAAGUCGAGCGAAAAGACGAGGAGCUUGCUCCCCUGACGUUAGCGGCGGACGGGUGAGUAACACGUGGAUAACCUACCUCUAAGACUGGGAUAACUUCGGGAAACCGGGGCUAAUAACGGAUAACAUGUUGAACCGCAAGGUUCAACAGUGAAAGACGGUCUUUCUGUCACUUAUAGAUGGCUCCGGGCCGCAUUAGCUAGUUGGUAAGGUAACGGCUUACCAAGGCAACGAUGCGUAGCCGACCUGAGAGGGUGAUCGCCCACACUGGAUCUGAGACACGGUCCACACUCCUACGGGGGGCAGCAGUAGGGAAUCCUCCGCAAUGGGCGAAAGCCUGACGGAGCAACGCCGCGUGAGUGAAGAAGGACCUCGGAUCGGAAAACUCUGUUAUUAGGGAAGAUCAAAUGUGUAAGUAACUAUGCACGUCUUGACGGUACCUAAUCAGAAAGCCACGGCUAACUCCGUG
Molecule: ribosomal RNA, 497 nt
Filed under: uncultured bacterium
Lineage: Bacteria
Description: partial 16S ribosomal RNA
Rfam family: Bacterial small subunit ribosomal RNA
Source: RNAcentral